AACGAACGCUGGCGGCAGGCUUAACACAUGCAAGUCGAGCGCCCCGCCAGGGGAGCGGCAGACGGGUGAGUAACGCGUGGGAACGUACCUUUUGGUUCGGAACAACUCCGUGAAACUGGAGCUAAUACCGGAUAAGCCCUAACGUGGAAAGAUUUAUCGCCGAAAGAUCGGAUCGCGUCUGAUUAGCUAGUUGGUGAGGUAACGUCUCACCAAGGCGACGAUCAGUAGCUGGUCUGAGAGGAUGAUCAGCCACACUGGGACUGAGACACGGCCCAGACUCCUACGGGAGGCAGCAGUGGGGAAUAUUGGAAAAUGGGCGCAAGCCUGAUCCAGCCAUGCCGCGUGAGUGAUGAAGGCCUUAGGGUUGUAAAGCUCUUUUGUCCGGGAAGAUAAUGACGGUACCGGAAGAAUAAGCCCCGGCUAACUUCGUG
RNAcentral lists this ribosomal RNA (431 nucleotides) under uncultured bacterium. RNAcentral's name for it is "partial 16S ribosomal RNA". It matches the Rfam family "Bacterial small subunit ribosomal RNA", at positions 29 to 507 of the family's 1533-position model. The record is from RNAcentral.